AGUGAACGCUGGCGGUAGGCCUAACACAUGCAAGUCGAACGGCAGCACAGUAAGAGCUUGCUCUUACGGGUGGCGAGUGGCGGACGGGUGAGGAAUACAUCGGAAUCUACUUUUUCGUGGGGGAUAACGUAGGGAAACUUACGCUAAUACCGCAUACGACCUACGGGUGAAAGCAGGGGAUCUUCGGACCUUGCGCGAUUGAAUGAGCCGAUGUCGGAUUAGCUAGUUGGCGGGGUAAAGGCCCACCAAGGCGACGAUCCGUAGCUGGUCUGAGAGGAUGAUCAGCCACACCGGAACUGAGACACGGUCCAGACUCCUACGGGAGGCAGCAGUGGGGAAUAUUGGACAAUGGGCGCAAGCCUGAUCCAGCCAUACCGCGUGGGUGAAGAAGGCCUUCGGGUUGUAAAGCCCUUUGUUGGGAAAGAAAAGCAGCAGGUUAAUACCCCGCUGUUCUGACGGUACCCAAAGAAUAAGCACCGGCUAACUUCGUG
RNAcentral lists this ribosomal RNA (491 nucleotides) under uncultured bacterium. RNAcentral describes it as "partial 16S ribosomal RNA". It matches the Rfam family "Bacterial small subunit ribosomal RNA", at positions 29 to 507 of the family's 1533-position model. The record is from RNAcentral.